CAUACAAUAACAUUAACCCAUGUCUUUCCAAGCAGACAUUUAUGUAUCGAUUGGUUUUCUGUCUAGAAAAAGUAGUAAACGUUUGAUAAAAUUAAAGCGGACUUGGAAGGUGUGAGAGUGAAUAGUCGUGUGGCGGUGAUAAUGCGUGAAUGGGAUAGAGUUAAGUAGAUAUUUAGAGAUAUAGGAUGAAAAAAUAGAAGUAAAUGGGAAGAGAAGAAAGUUGCUGGGGAAUUGAAAGGAACGCGAUAGAAACAGGAGGAAAGGAUAGAAGACAAGCAGAAAGAUCGCGGCUAGGGAGAUUAGGAUGCAUAGGCGAGCACGGGAAAAUAGUAUGUAUAGAGAAGGGAAAGAAGAAAAGGGCCAGAGAAUGCGGAUAAGAGAGAUUAAGUAAUAUAGAGAGCUCCAUUCCGCACCAUGUGAUUUCGGCCUUAGAGUAGAGAAAAGAGUGGACUCAGAUCACAGCCCCUAGGCAAUGACAUUGAAAAGCAGAAAGAAGAGGAGGAGAAAAGGAUUGCAGAAAGAUCAUAGAACUUAUACUAAUGGAAGAGGAAAAGGACCCGUAAAAGUGUGUCCAAGAAGUGAGACAAAAAACUAGUUCUGUCUCAUACCUACAAAUACGGCCGCUCAUGCGCAUUAUGAGGAAGUUAUGAAAUGAGACGGAAAACUAGUUCUGUCUCAAUUUCAUCUCAAGUCAUGUUCUACCUAUCCUUGUCGCACAGAUGUUGGACACAGUUUCGGCAUACGGACGGCAUACGCUAUUUCUCUUCCAUUAGUAUAAGUUUUAUGAGAAAGAUCAAGAAUAAGAGAGGACGACGAAGCAGAGCGUAUACACGAGGAAAAGCGGAAAAGGCAAAUGAAUGGAGAUCCUGGGUAACGAGGCAACAGAAUUUUGGAAGAAAUUAUAGGAGAUAAUCCAGAAAGCAACAAUAAAGAUAAGCGUGCAGGAAAGAAAAGGAAUACAAGGUCUAUUCAAAUAGAGGUUGUACAAGAAGGAAGAGGAAAAUAUAAAGGAUUUUAAAGAGUCGAAGAAA
Long non-coding RNA from Monomorium pharaonis (pharaoh ant), 1031 nucleotides. RefSeq lists it as uncharacterized. The record is from RefSeq and is a predicted model, not a curated record. The transcript is spliced from 2 exons. Lineage: Eukaryota; Metazoa; Arthropoda; Insecta; Hymenoptera; Formicidae.